RNAcentral lists this transfer RNA (57 nucleotides) under Loxodonta africana (African savanna elephant). It matches the Rfam family "tRNA", at positions 8 to 63 of the family's 71-position model. Rfam says of the family: Transfer RNA (tRNA) molecules are approximately 80 nucleotides in length. Their secondary structure includes four short double-helical elements and three loops (D, anti-codon, and T loops). The record is from Rfam by way of RNAcentral. Lineage: Eukaryota; Metazoa; Chordata; Mammalia; Proboscidea; Elephantidae.
UGGUACAGUGGUUGAACACUUGGCUGCUUACCAAAAGGUUGGUGGUUCAAACCCACC